GGCAAGAUGGCCGAGUGGUUAAGGCGACGCAGUACUUUUGUUGCGUUCUCGAAAGAGGCGUGGGUUCGAGUCCCACUCUUGUCA
This 84-nucleotide transfer RNA is filed under the name Phaeoacremonium minimum UCRPA7. Its description in RNAcentral is "tRNA-Lys (TTT) (tRNA-Lys-TTT-3-1)". It matches the Rfam family "tRNA". From Rfam's summary of the family: Transfer RNA (tRNA) molecules are approximately 80 nucleotides in length. Their secondary structure includes four short double-helical elements and three loops (D, anti-codon, and T loops). The record is from RNAcentral. Lineage: Eukaryota; Fungi; Ascomycota; Sordariomycetes; Togniniales; Togniniaceae.